GGUCUAUAUAUCUGUCAACUGUGAAAGAGGUGUGGCCUAAAUGUCUGUCAGUCCCACAAAGGGGGCAUGGCCUUACAGCUGUCCUGUACAGUGAAGGAGGUGUGGCCUAUAUGUCUGUACCUGUCAGUCCUAGCGAAGGAGGUGUGUCCUCUGUACCUGUCAGUCAAAGUGAGAGAGGCAUGUCCUCUGUACCUGUCAGUCCUAGUUAAGGAGGCGUGUCAUCUGUACCUUUCAGGUAUAGUGAAGGAGGUGUGUCCUCUGUACCUGUCAGUCUUAGUGAAGGAGGCGCGUGUCUCUGUACCUGUCAGUCUUAGUGAAGGAGGCGUGUCCUCUGUAUGUGUCCGUCCUAGUGAAGGAGGUGUGUCCUCUGUAUCUGUCUGUCCUAUUGAAGGAGGUGUGUCCUCUGUACCUGUCAGUCUUAGUGAAGGUGUGUCCUCUGUAUCUGUCCGUCCUAGUGAAGGAGGCGUGUCCUCUGUAUGUGUCCGUCCUAGUGAAGGAGGUGUGUCCUCUGUAUCUG
Ictalurus punctatus (channel catfish) is the source of this 517-nucleotide long non-coding RNA. Lineage: Eukaryota; Metazoa; Chordata; Actinopteri; Siluriformes; Ictaluridae. The record is from Ensembl.